UCGUAACAAGGUUUCCGUAGGUGAACCUGCGGAAGGAUCAUUACCGAGUGAGGGCCCUCUGGGUCCAACCUCCCACCCGUGUCUAUCGUACCUUGUUGCUUCGGCGGGCCCGCCGUUUCGACGGCCGCCGGGGAGGCCCUGCGCCCCCGGGCCCGCGCCCGCCGAAGACCCCAACAUGAACGCUGUUCUGAAAGUAUGCAGUCUGAGUUGAUUAUCGUAAUCAGUUAAAACUUUCAACAACGGAUCUCUUGGUUCCGGCAUCGAUGAAGAACGCAGCGAAAUGCGAUAAGUAAUGUGAAUUGCAGAAUUCAGUGAAUCAUCGAGUCUUUGAACGCACAUUGCGCCCCCUGGUAUUCCGGGGGGCAUGCCUGUCCGAGCGUCAUUGCUGCCCUCAAGCACGGCUUGUGUGUUGGGCCCCCGUCCCCCUCUCCCGGGGGACGGGCCCGAAAGGCAGCGGCGGCACCGCGUCCGGUCCUCGAGCGUAUGGGGCUUUGUCACCUGCUCUGUAGGCCCGGCCGGCGCCAGCCGACACCCAACUUUAUUUUUCUAAGGUUGACCUCGGAUCAGGUAGGGAUACCCGCUGAACUUAAGCAUAUCAAUAA
Molecule: unclassified non-coding RNA, 602 nt
Filed under: Aspergillus fumigatus
Lineage: Eukaryota; Fungi; Ascomycota; Eurotiomycetes; Eurotiales; Aspergillaceae
Description: sequence contains 18S rRNA gene, ITS1, 5.8S rRNA gene, ITS2, 28S rRNA gene
Rfam family: 5.8S ribosomal RNA (bases 229-382)
Source: RNAcentral